UGUACACGCUGUGACUAGCAUAUCAAUAAGCGGAGGAAAAGAAACUAACAAGGAUUCCCCUAGUAACGGCGAGUGAAGCGGGAAGAGCUCAAAUUUGAAAUCUUAAAGGGUUUCCCUUUACGAAUUGUAGUUUAAAGAAGUGUUUUCUGUUGAGGUUUUGGUAAAAGUUCUUUGGAAUAGGACAUCAUAGAGGGUGAGAAUCCCGUAUUUGACCUUUACUUUCAACUUUGUGAUACACUUUCAAAGAGUCGGAUUGUUUGGGAAUGCAGUCCAAAAUGGGUGGUAAAUUUCAUCUAAAGCUAAAUAUUGGCGAGAGACCGAUAGCGAACAAGUACCGUGAGGGAAAGAUGAAAAGAACUUUGAAAAGAGAGUUAAACAGUACGUGAAAUUGUCAAAAGGGAAGCGUUUGACACCAGUGUUGUUUUUCUGAAAAUCAAUUAAAGAACUGUUUAUGCUAAGCUGUUUAGACUUUAUCAGCUAUCUGUUUAGUUUUGAGCUUUUCUUUGAUGCACUUUUCAGUUAACAAGUCGACAUCAAUUUCUUUUGCUGUAAAAAAGCUUGAGGAAGGUGGCUUGAGAUUCGUCUUAAGUGUUUAUAGCCUCUUGCCUAUGCAGUCGGAGAGAUUGAGGUCUGCAGCGUAGAUCCUUCGGGGCUAAAUGCAUUUGUGCUAAGUUAUAGCAUUUUCAUCGACAACUUGUUGACUAUGAUUUGUCUUGUAGCUUACUCGCUUAUGUUAUUUUACCUACGCUUAGGAUGUUGAAGUCAUCGUAUCGCGC
This 776-nucleotide ribosomal RNA is filed under the name uncultured Neocallimastigales. RNAcentral describes it as "partial large subunit ribosomal RNA". It matches the Rfam family "Eukaryotic large subunit ribosomal RNA", at positions 22 to 645 of the family's 3401-position model. The record is from RNAcentral. Lineage: Eukaryota; Fungi; Neocallimastigomycota; Neocallimastigomycetes; Neocallimastigales.